This 75-nucleotide transfer RNA is filed under the name Verrucomicrobiota bacterium. Its description in RNAcentral is "Verrucomicrobia bacterium tRNA-Val". It matches the Rfam family "tRNA". Rfam says of the family: Transfer RNA (tRNA) molecules are approximately 80 nucleotides in length. The record is from RNAcentral. Lineage: Bacteria; Pseudomonadati; Verrucomicrobiota. RNAcentral also lists the same sequence under 2 other names.
GCGCGGGUAGCUCAGCGGUAGAGCGGCUCGUUUACACCGAGUUGGUCGGGGGUUCGAUCCCCUCCCCGCGCACCA